This 466-nucleotide ribosomal RNA is filed under the name uncultured bacterium. RNAcentral's name for it is "bacterial SSU rRNA". It matches the Rfam family "Bacterial small subunit ribosomal RNA", at positions 28 to 507 of the family's 1533-position model. The record is from RNAcentral.
GACGAACGCUGGCGGCGUGCCUAACACAUGCAAGUCGAACGGGGUAGAGAGCUUCGGUUUUCUACUUAGUGGCGAACGGGUGAGUAACGCGUGAGAAACCUGCCUUUCAGUGGGGGACAACAGUUGGAAACGACUGCUAAUACCGCAUAAUGUUAUUUAGGGGCAUCCCUGAAUAACCAAAGCUUUAUGUGCUGAAAGAUGGUCUCGCGUCUGAUUAGCUAGAUGGCGGGGUAACGGCCCACCAUGGCGACGAUCAGUAGCCGGUCUGAGAGGAUGAACGGCCACAUUGGGACUGAGAUACGGCCCAGACUCCUACGGGAGGCAGCAGUGGGGAAUAUUGGGCAAUGGGGGAAACCCUGACCCAGCAACGCCGCGUGAGGGAAGAAGGCUUUCGGGUUGUAAACCUCUUUUAGCAGGGACGAAGAACGUGACGGUACCUGCAGAAAAAGCAACGGCUAACUACGUG